Molecule: long non-coding RNA, 656 nt
Filed under: Marmota monax (woodchuck)
Lineage: Eukaryota; Metazoa; Chordata; Mammalia; Rodentia; Sciuridae
Source: RNAcentral
AUUUUAUUAGUGUCUGUGGUGAUACUUACUUUCUCAUUAUAAAUUUUAAUAAUUUGGGUUCUUUUUUUUCCCUCUUCGGUUAAUUAGGCUAAGGAUUUAGCGAUUUUAUUUAUUUUUUCAAAGAGGUUCUGGAGCAUUUGUAAGUAUGGAUUUUAAAAUAAUUAACCAAAUGAGAGGUUUGGAAAAAUUAAAGCUAAUUUUAGAUAGCCAUGAAAACCAAGCAGAAGUAAAGAGUAAGAACUCAAAAGUUUUAAGAUAAUACAGGCAUCCAGGUGUAAAAGUAGAGUCAUCUACUAUUUCUGUGUAGUCCUCUGCAUGUGAUCAUAUCUUUGAAAUAUUGGAUUUCUUCAGCUGUAAGGUGGAGGAUAAUGAAACCCUCUUCCAAUUAUUGUGUAGAAGGGAAAUGAUAUAUGUAAAUUAUUGGAACAGAGCCUAGGAAGAUACUAGGAAGUGAGUGAUAGCAUUAUUGUUAGGGAGAAAUAAUAAUAAAAAAUUUCAUUUGUUUUCAGUAUAUUUCUGUUGUAAAAAAUGAUUCAUUCAUACUUAAACAUAUGAUUUAAAUAUUACAUUUUUCCACAUGUUAAUUUGCUUUAUUAUGGUAACCAUUUUAUUAUCUCAGUGUAUUGCAUAACAUAUUGUAAACCUCAAAUAUAUCC